GCGGCAAAAACGACACGACCACAACCAUAAGGAUGAGUGCAUCUUUGAAAGCAGCAUUGAAGAGGACUUGCGUAGACAGCGACAACGACAAAAGGAGCGUGAAAAGGAUAGAGAGAUGUUAAAGGAGCCAGAGGAGGAAGAUAGAAUGGAUGAAACGGACACACCCUUUGUUGAAAAA
Molecule: non-coding RNA, 178 nt
Filed under: Cylindrotheca closterium
Lineage: Eukaryota; Bacillariophyta; Bacillariophyceae; Bacillariales; Bacillariaceae
Source: RNAcentral